RNAcentral lists this ribosomal RNA (475 nucleotides) under uncultured bacterium. RNAcentral's name for it is "bacterial SSU rRNA". It matches the Rfam family "Bacterial small subunit ribosomal RNA", at positions 29 to 506 of the family's 1533-position model. The record is from RNAcentral.
ACGAACGCUGGCGGCGUGCUUAACACAUGCAAGUCGAGCGGUAAGGCCCUUCGGGGUACACGAGCGGCGAACGGGUGAGUAACACGUGGGUGACCUGCCCCCUACUCUGGGAUAAGCCUGGGAAACUGGGUCUAAUACCGGAUAUGACUGCUGGUUGCAUGACUGGUGGUGGAAAGUGUGUUCUUGAUUGAGCACCUCGGUGGGGGAUGGGCCCGCGGCCUAUCAGCUUGUUGGUGGGGUGAUGGCCUACCAAGGCGACGACGGGUAGCCGGCCUGAGAGGGCGACCGGCCACACUGGGACUGAGACACGGCCCAGACUCCUACGGGAGGCAGCAGUGGGGAAUAUUGCGCAAUGGGCGGAAGCCUGACGCAGCGACGCCGCGUGGGGGAUGACGGCCUUCGGGUUGUAAACCUCUUUCGGCCCCGACGAAGCGUGAGUGACGGUAGGGGUAGAAGAAGCACCGGCCAACUACGU